AACAAACAAAUGAACAACUGAAACAAGAAAUAAGACCUCCUUUUAGCAUGUUACUCAGCAACCUAUUAGUUGCUAAGCUAUUGCUAGACACCUUGAAAAAAGGGUGCAAGAUAAAAAAAAAUGGUGUGGCUAAUAGUAUACUCAGUACAUAGCGCUUAGCCCAUUAUGAAGUUCAUUAGGAGCCAUGCUUUUUGAUGAUUUAAAUAUCUCCUUCUGAAAUCAAUCACACUAGACACAUCUGAAGAAAUAAGACAAGGCAUUUGUGCUGCAGACAACCAGCCAAAAUGAUGAAGUUUCCAGCCACAGGAGGAGGAUGAUCUGAUGCACUACAUUUAUAAUCAGGAGUUCACAGUUAAAAUCCUACUUCAGACAAAACUGGACAGCAUGUUCUGGGCAAGUUUUCGACUUUGAUGGAUUUUUCACAUUCUUCUACAAAGGUAUUGGGGAUUUUUGUUAUGUCUUAGCAAAGUGUUUACAUUCUUCAGCUCACAGCAGCAGUCCCCAUGUCCAUCCACCAGAUGAAAACACAACAUGCGCCCCUGCUCUCACACACAGAAGAGGCAGGGCUUCCAGGGAAGCUGUUAACCUGCUUCAGGGAGGGUGAAGGCAGAGGAAGACAAGGAAAAUACAUGCAGUCACUGGUGGAUCUACCUCUAAGCCAGAGGAUUCUCCUAAACUCACAAGAUUGUAGCAGAGUCUCAAAGGAUAUGCUGAUCCACUGGAUGGCUGUGACUACUGCAGCAGCUUCGCUACACAGACUCUUUCUUCCUCCCUCAGGCUGCCUUGGUCUGAAUGUAUCACAGUGUCACAGGUGAAUUAAAAGGAGCGUUCUCUCCAGUUUCUUAUGCAAUGUAUGCCAUUCCAAUAGGAAAGUGGGAAAUCAUUAGUUUAUAUCCUUUACUAUCUAGGGCAGGCAGGUGUAUGAAUUACGUUUUCCAACUUAAUGACUCAAAAUCAGAUUUUCUCUUCAACAUUGAAAACUAUAUUGUAAAGUCUCUACUAGUUUACAAAUUUGCAGUGUCUCCUGCUGCAGAGAAAAAGUGUGCAUGUCGUACAUCUUUCAAUGCCAUCUACUGCAGCCACACUGAAAAUACUGCGCAUAAAGUUUUCUGCCUUAUAGCAAGAACGUGCUGCUUAUAAUCCUCUUAUUGACUAAAGCAGAUGGAAUCAUUUUCAGUGUCUCUAUCCAAAAAGCAUAAAAGAUUUAAGUCUAAAAGCUGAACAUCCGAGCAUAAAUUACAGUCAGUUGAGAAAACGAAGUCAACUCAAAUUGGCUUUAGAAUUUCCUGUGCAGCCUUAAUGGAGUGCCUGACAAGGCCUCAUCAACCAAUUUAUGCAUAGGAUCACACUCAUUUCCAUUAAUCAUAAAUAAAUAUGUAUCAUACAGUGUCCCUGUGUGCACAGUUCUAUACUGAAACAGACUCGGGAUCUUUCGCUCUCAAAGAAUGACAAGAAAUGGCCUAGAAGAAAGACUGAGUGCUGCUGUAUGCAUGUGGGUGAGUGCAACAAAUGCCCCUCGGGGUUGCCACUACAGGGGGACAGUGCCCCAGGGCUCUGCACUUGCUAGGAACAGCGCCUGCU
Molecule: long non-coding RNA, 1581 nt
Organism: Harpia harpyja (harpy eagle)
Lineage: Eukaryota; Metazoa; Chordata; Aves; Accipitriformes; Accipitridae
Exons: 3
Source: RefSeq, a predicted model, not a curated record